CCUACGGGCGGCAGCAGUGAGGAAUAUUGGUCAAUGGGCGCGAGUCUGAACCAGCCAAGUAGCGUGAGGGAUGACGGCCCUAUGGAUUGUAAACUUCUUUUGUCGGGGAGUAAAAUACGCCACGUGUGGCGUUUUGUGUGUACCCGAUGAAUAAGCAUCGGCUAACUCCGUGCCAGCAGCCGCGGUAAUACGGAGGAUGCGAGCGUUAUCCGGAUUUAUUGGGGUUAAAGGGGGCGUAGGUGGAUAGUUAAGUCAGGCGUAAAAUUUUGCGGCUCAACCGUAUCGGGGCCGUUGAAACUGGUAGUCUUGAGUACAGGAGAGGUAGGCGGAAUGCGUGGUGUAGCGGUGAAAUGCAUAGAUAUCACGCAGAACUCCGAUUGCGAAGGCAGCAUACCGGAGUGCAACUGACACUGAUGCACGAAAGUGUGGGUAUCAAACAGGAUUAGAUACCCUUGUAGUC
RNAcentral lists this ribosomal RNA (460 nucleotides) under uncultured bacterium. Its description in RNAcentral is "partial 16S ribosomal RNA". It matches the Rfam family "Bacterial small subunit ribosomal RNA", at positions 338 to 795 of the family's 1533-position model. The record is from RNAcentral.